AAUUAAGACGAUACCUUAGAAAGGUGUAUUUGAUAUAAUAGUGUUAUAACUAGAGUAAACUUAAUAUAAAAAAUAAAACAUUGAAAAUGAUUUGUUAUUUUUAGUUUUUUCAUGUUCGUCUGACAAGAUUGAUGUUAGUAGCUAUAAGAGUGUCUAAAAAAAGAGCAAAUAUGUUCACAGUUAUUAGAGUGAGUUUAGCUUCUUAUAACAGUAACUUUUUGUUGACAGUUUCAUGUUUAGCUUUUUUUUCGGUUUAUUAUGUGAUGAGAUGAUUUUUGUUCAAAUUUCUUCUGAUCAAUUCAUGUAACAAAAUUUUCUUUUUAUCCAAUGUUCCCUGAUCGCAAAACCAUCACCACAGAUUACUUGGUUAAAAGCAAAAAACAAUGAUAAACCAACAGCAACAACCUACAAAGACAACCAGAGAACAUCUUUUGGCUUUAUUGAAUUAACUUCUGUUCCAAGCUAAUAGAGAUAAUAGUCUCUCUUUUAAUGGACUUGGUCUUGGCUAUUGCAACGGUUAGACUUUCAUGUAACAACUCUAUCAACUGAAACAAAGCCAGAAGACGAAAAGGACAAUGUAAAGACCUAAAGAAACCCUAGUUUUUACCUGGUAAAUGGACACAAGGGGAUUGAUGAUUUGUUUUU
Long non-coding RNA from Tetranychus urticae (two-spotted spider mite), 645 nucleotides. RefSeq lists it as uncharacterized. NCBI's taxonomy places the organism in Eukaryota, Metazoa, Arthropoda, Arachnida, Trombidiformes, Tetranychidae. The record is from RefSeq and is a predicted model, not a curated record.